UGGAGGGCAAGUCUGGUGCCAGCAGCCGCGGUAAUUCCAGCUCCAAUAGCGUAUAUUAAAGUUGUUGCAGUUAAAAAGCUCGUAGUUGAAUUUCGGGAUCAAUUUAUUGGUCGUGCCAACGGUACGCACUGGUACAAUUGGUUUCUCCCUUCUGACGAAGCAUGAUGUCAUUAAUUUGAUGUCGUGGGGAAUCAGGACUGUUACUUUGAAAAAAUUAGAGUGUUUAAAGCAGGCUUUGGCUUGAAUACAUUAGCAUGGAAUAAUGAAAUAGGACGUUUGAUCUUAUUUCGUUGGUUUCUAAGAUCGACGUAAUGAUUAAUAGGGAUAGUUGGGGGCAUUAGUAUUCAAUUGUCAGAGGUGAAAUUCUUGGAUUUAUUGAAGACUAACUACUGCGAAAGCAUUUGCCAAGGAUGUUUUCAUUAAUCAAGAACGAAAGUUAGGGGAUCGAAGACGAUCAGAUACCGUCGUAGUCUUAACCAUAAACUAUGCCGACUAGGGAUCGGAUGAUGUUAAUUUUUUAAUGACUCAUUCGGCGCCUUACGGGAAA
Molecule: ribosomal RNA, 547 nt
Filed under: uncultured Glomeromycotina
Lineage: Eukaryota; Fungi; Glomeromycota
Description: SSU rRNA
Rfam family: Eukaryotic small subunit ribosomal RNA
Source: RNAcentral